RNAcentral lists this ribosomal RNA (245 nucleotides) under uncultured Pseudomonas sp. RNAcentral's name for it is "partial 16S ribosomal RNA". It matches the Rfam family "Bacterial small subunit ribosomal RNA", at positions 109 to 355 of the family's 1533-position model. Lineage: Bacteria; Pseudomonadati; Pseudomonadota; Gammaproteobacteria; Pseudomonadales; Pseudomonadaceae. The record is from RNAcentral.
AGUAAUGCCUAGGAAUCUGCCUGGUAGUGGGGGGACGAACGUUUCGAAAGGAACGCUAAUACCGCAUACGUCCUACGGGAGAAAGCAGGGACCUUCGGGCCUUGCGCUAUCAGAUGAGCCUAGGUCGGAUUAGCUAGUUGGUGAGGUAAUGGCUCACCAAGGCGACGAUCCGUAACUGGUCUGAGAGGAUGAUCAGUCACACUGGAACUGAGACACGGUCCAGACUCCUACGGGAGGCAGCAGCC